UACGUAGGCAGCGAGCGUUGUUCGGAGUUACUGGGCGUAAAGAGUGCGUAGGCGGUUUUCUAAGUUUGGUGUGAAAUCUCCCGGCUCAACUGGGAGGGUGCGCCGAAGACUGGAAGGCUUGAGUAUGGGAGAGGUAAGCGGAAUUCCUGGUGUAGCGGUGAAAUGCGUAGAUAUCAGGAGGAACACCUGCGGUGUAGACGGCUUACUGGACCAUAACUGACGCUGAGGCACGGAAGCGUGGGUAGCAAACAGG
This 253-nucleotide ribosomal RNA is filed under the name uncultured bacterium. Its description in RNAcentral is "partial 16S ribosomal RNA". It matches the Rfam family "Bacterial small subunit ribosomal RNA", at positions 524 to 776 of the family's 1533-position model. The record is from RNAcentral.